CCUACGGGAGGCAGCAGUAGGGAAUCUUCCACAAUGGGCGAAAGCCUGAUGGAGCAACGCCGCGUGGGUGAAGAAGGUCUUCGGAUCGUAAAACCCUGUUGUUAGAGAAGAAAGUGCGUGAGAGUAACUGUUCACGUUUCGACGGUAUCUAACCAGAAAGCCACGGCUAACUACGUGCCAGCAGCCGCGGUAAUACGUAGGUGGCAAGCGUUAUCCGGAUUUAUUGGGCGUAAAGGGAACGCAGGCGGUCUUUUAAGUCUGAUGUGAAAGCCUUCGGCUUAACCGGAGUAGUGCAUUGGAAACGGGGAGAAUUGAGUGCAGAAGAGGAGAGUGGAACUCCAUGUGGAACGGGUAAAUGCGGAGAUAAAUGGAAGAACACCAGUGGCGAAAGCGGCUCUCUGGUCUGUAACUGACGCUGAGGUUCGAAAGCGGGGGUAGCAAACAGGAUUAGAUACCCUGGUAGUC
RNAcentral lists this ribosomal RNA (465 nucleotides) under uncultured bacterium. RNAcentral describes it as "partial 16S ribosomal RNA". It matches the Rfam family "Bacterial small subunit ribosomal RNA", at positions 338 to 795 of the family's 1533-position model. The record is from RNAcentral.